GAGGAAAAGAAACUAACAAGGAUUCCCCUAGUAACGGCGAGUGAAGCGGGAAGAGCUCAAAUUUGAAAUCUGGCAGUCUUCGAUUGUCCGAGUUGUAAUCUAUAGAGGCGUUUUCCGUGCCGGACCGUGUCCAAGUCUCCUGGAAAGGAGUAUCAAAGAGGGUGAUAAUCCCGUACUUAACACGACCACCGGUGCUCUGUGAUACGUCUUCUACGAGUCGAGUUGUUUGGGAAUGCAGCUCAAAAUGGGUGGUGAAUUCCAUCUAAAGCUAAAUAUUGGCGAGAGACCGAUAGCGAACAAGUACCGUGAGGGAAAGAUGAAAAGCACUUUGGAAAGAGAGUUAAACAGUACGUGAAAUUGUUGAAAGGGAAACGAUUGAAGUCAGUCGUGUUCUUUGGAUUCAGCCAGUUCUGCUGGUCUACUUCCUUUGAACGGGUCAACAUCAGUUUUGUCCGGUGGAUAAAGGCAGUAGGAAUGUAGCUUCUCCGGAAGUGUUAUAGCCUAUUGUCACAUACACUGGGUGAGACUGAGGACUGCAGCUCGCCUUUAUGGCCGACCUUCGGGUACGUUCGAGCUUAGGAUGUUGACAUAAUGGCUUUAAACGACCCGUCUU
This 613-nucleotide ribosomal RNA is filed under the name Trichosporon coremiiforme. RNAcentral describes it as "LSU rRNA". It matches the Rfam family "Eukaryotic large subunit ribosomal RNA", at positions 53 to 655 of the family's 3401-position model. The record is from RNAcentral. Lineage: Eukaryota; Fungi; Basidiomycota; Tremellomycetes; Trichosporonales; Trichosporonaceae.